This 403-nucleotide long non-coding RNA is filed under the name Helianthus annuus (common sunflower). Lineage: Eukaryota; Viridiplantae; Streptophyta; Magnoliopsida; Asterales; Asteraceae. The record is from RNAcentral.
UAGUAAAUGUCACACCUUACCCAUACCCACGCACAACCAUAAAAACCUAGUUUUCAACAAUUCGACAGACGUAUCUUUAUCAGCCAGUGCCGCCGUACACAACCCUAAUUUGUAACGAUCAUUAACAAUGUUAGAGGAAAAGAGGCGACGUGAUCUCAGGGGAACUGAAGAACGUAGAUGUUACUCGAUCAUAACAUGUUGAGAAUUCAUAGGGUGUGAUGCAGCUGAUGGAUUUUUAAGUGAUUGGUGGGGGCAAGACCCAAAUUCCCCGGAGAAUCUAUUGGAUGAAGAUUAUGAUCCGUCUCCAUCUACAUCCCAACUGACCCACAGGAAAGAUCGCAGGAGAUCAGUUUCAAGAACCAAAGAUACGGUUGUGGUCCCCGAAAAGCGUUCUAAAUUCAAG